CCCUUAGAUGUUCUGGGCCGCACGCGCGCUACACUGAUGCAUUCAACGAGUCCAACCUUGACCGAGAGGUCCGGGUAAUCUUUGAAACUGCAUCGUGAUGGGGCUAGACUAUUGCAAUUAUUAAUCUUCAACGAGGAAUGCCUAGUAAGCGUGAUUCAUCAAAUCGCGUUGAUUACGUCCCUGCCCUUUGUACACACCGCCCGUCGCUCCUACCGAUUGAGUGUGUUGGUGAGGAGUUUGGAUUGGCCUCGGAAGGUGGUUCGCCACCGUCCGUAGCUGAGAAGUUCUCCAAACCGCCCCACUUAGAGGAAGGAGAAGUCGUAACA
RNAcentral lists this ribosomal RNA (326 nucleotides) under uncultured eukaryote. RNAcentral describes it as "partial 18S ribosomal RNA". It matches the Rfam family "Eukaryotic small subunit ribosomal RNA", at positions 1470 to 1796 of the family's 1831-position model. The record is from RNAcentral.